UCUGGCGGCAGUAGCGCGGUGGUCCCACCUGACCCCAUGCCGAACUCAGAAGUGAAACGCCGUAGCGCUGAUGGUAGUGUGGGGUCUCCCCAUGCGAGAGUAGGGAACUGCCAGAC
This 116-nucleotide ribosomal RNA is filed under the name Escherichia coli. The record is from RNAcentral. Lineage: Bacteria; Pseudomonadati; Pseudomonadota; Gammaproteobacteria; Enterobacterales; Enterobacteriaceae. RNAcentral also lists the same sequence under 5 other names.